RNAcentral lists this ribosomal RNA (274 nucleotides) under uncultured bacterium. RNAcentral's name for it is "partial 16S ribosomal RNA". It matches the Rfam family "Bacterial small subunit ribosomal RNA", at positions 523 to 796 of the family's 1533-position model. The record is from RNAcentral.
AUACGGAGGGGGCUAGCGUUGUUCGGAAUUACUGGGCGUAAAGCGCGCGUAGGCGGCUUAUCAAGUUAGGCGUGAAGGGCCUGGGCUCAACCCGGGAACUGCGCUUAAUACUGGUAGACUUGAGUCCGGGAGAGGGUGGCGGAAUUCCCAGUGUAGAGGUGAAAUUCGUAGAUAUUGGGAAGAACACCAGUGGCGAAGGCGGCCACCUGGCCCGGUACUGACGCCGAGGUGCGAAAGCGUGGGGAGCAAACAGGAUUAGAUACCCCGGUAGUCC